CUCAACAGAAGGAAGGCACUAGAAUUAAGGGGGGUCAGGAAAAAAAUUCUUGUAGAAGGACUUGAAGUAAUCCAGGAGAUAAGGAGGAAAAGCAUUUCAAGUGUUGGGGACAGCUCAGAUUUGUUUUGUUUAGGAAGUACAAGGAGGAAAACAGAGUGAAAUAGAAGGAAGGCCCAGGUGAACUAGCCUUCUCACUUAAACAUAGUAAUCAAUUAAUUAAUUGAUGUGUAUUUAUUUAGUAUCUACCAUCUUCCAGGUCCUGUCCUAAGUCUGGGUAUAUAUACAAAGACAAAAAUGAAACAGUACCUGUCCACAAGAAUCUCGCAUCCUAUGGGACGAUCUGAGGAUCCAAAGAGAUAAUGGCAGACCUGAUUGCUGAGUUCUGGUGAUUGCUGAGAUGAGUCUUGAAAUCACGCUUGAUGACGUCUAAAACUCUAUAAGAGGAGAGAACACAGCUGGGAGAUUGAGACUUGUUGGAGCCAGCAACAGCCACGACAGCUACAGCCAAAGCUGAAGACAAAGCUGAAGCCAAAGGAGCUGAAGAAGCAGGAGCUGCUGGUAGCAAGGAUGACCCAUGUGUGGACUGGGGAGUGCUGA
Long non-coding RNA from Trichosurus vulpecula (common brushtail), 597 nucleotides. RefSeq lists it as uncharacterized. Lineage: Eukaryota; Metazoa; Chordata; Mammalia; Diprotodontia; Phalangeridae. The transcript has 3 exons. The record is from RefSeq and is a predicted model, not a curated record.